Molecule: long non-coding RNA, 670 nt
Organism: Panicum hallii
Lineage: Eukaryota; Viridiplantae; Streptophyta; Magnoliopsida; Poales; Poaceae
Exons: 3
Source: RefSeq, a predicted model, not a curated record
AACCAGGGCCCACAAUUUUGCCACGUCGUUCCGACUCCGAGCGGCCUCCGGAAUCCGAGCCGCCGCCGCCGGAGUCCGUGCUGGUAGGCCCAUGGCUCUGCUCUCUGCUCCGACGGAUUCCAGGCGCUGCCCUCCCGUCGCCGUCGGGCCCCCGCUUCUCACCGGCGGCGGGGACGGCCUCUCGAUUCAUGGGGAGCCGAGCUGAGGUCAGCAAGAAGUCUUCAAAACUAUUACUCCACGUGUGGCAACACUAAUAUAUACUAGUGGAAGAAGUGGCACACCGAAAGGCGUAAUGCUGACCCACCAAAAUCUCUUGCAUCAGGAUCAACAGCGUCUUGGUGCCAUAAUUGUUCCCAACAAUGAUGAAGUUCUGGCAGAAGCAAAGAAGGAAAGUCCCUCGUUCAUGAGAAUGGCGAAGUAGCGAAAGAUAAGGUCAUGAACAUGUUGUCAGAUUCUUUAGCUUAGGAUCACUUCUGUUCUGUUAAGAACAGGAGAGAGACAUGAGAGAAGUGGUUUUGUGCAGUGAAGCUAACAAUGUAUAUUUCUAUGUUACACAAGCUUAGAUACACAGGAGGGUUAAAUGUCCUUUUAUAGGAAUUUUAGGUCGGUGCUACAGUACCACUACAGUAACCGACAUUAUGUUGGCCUGCGCUUUACAGCUAAAGCAAAA